This 253-nucleotide ribosomal RNA is filed under the name uncultured bacterium. RNAcentral describes it as "partial 16S ribosomal RNA". It matches the Rfam family "Bacterial small subunit ribosomal RNA", at positions 524 to 776 of the family's 1533-position model. The record is from RNAcentral.
UACGUAGGGGGCCAGCGUUGUCCGGAUUUACUGGGCGUAAAGAGCGCGUAGGCGGUUUGGUAAGCGGAGGGUGAAAUCCCGGGGCUCAACUCCGGGGCUGCUCUCCGAACUGCCAGACUAGAGUACGGGAGAGGGCAGUGGAAUUCCUGGUGUAGCGGUGGAAUGCGUAAAUAUCAGGAGGAACACCCGUGGCGAAGGCUGCUGCCUGGAACGUUACUGACGCUGAGGCGCGAAAGCUAGGGGAGCGAACGGG